Molecule: unclassified non-coding RNA, 232 nt
Filed under: Hevea brasiliensis (rubber tree)
Lineage: Eukaryota; Viridiplantae; Streptophyta; Magnoliopsida; Malpighiales; Euphorbiaceae
Source: RNAcentral
CUGGGUCGUGCCUCUUCUUCUUCUUCUAAUGAAUUCGCCAUAAAAAUUGAUGCUAUGAUCCUCAGAAUGUAUUCCCUGCUUCCAUUCGAGUCACUGCCGCUCAGAGUGAAUUGAGGUGGGUUAGAUUGACUCUCGUAGCGCCUUAUGCUCCGCUUUGAGAGGGCUCUCUGAGGAAGUACUGUGAUCUCUUCAUCCAGGAGCAUUUGAUUUCCAUUGUUGUGUCCCCCAUUGU